Molecule: long non-coding RNA, 3799 nt
Organism: Manis javanica (Malayan pangolin)
Lineage: Eukaryota; Metazoa; Chordata; Mammalia; Pholidota; Manidae
Source: RefSeq, a predicted model, not a curated record
ACGUCCUAUAGGGCCACUUCCGUGGGCGCUAGGUUAGAAACUGGGGGUGGUACUGACCUUGAGAGCGCGCAGGGGAGGCGCAGGCGCAGCGCAGGGCUACCCAGAUCCCUCUAAAGCAAGUACUUCAAGAGAAAAAGGCAGAAGUCUUCAUGUCCACAUAGCCUUCAAAGUGACAUAUCAUCACACAGAUAGGUUGACCAACAGAUUGAUGAGACAUACCAUGAAGAUACAGUGUGAGACACAACAAAGAGCAACUGGGGAACCUAAUUCUGACCAACAAGGAGGAAUUGCUUGGCUAAUUGGAAGUGACAGAAACCUUGGGAGAAAGCAACCACAUUCCAUGGAUAAUUAUAAGAAGGUAACAUGGGCCCUAAAGGAUAGUGUCAAGAAACCUGAAGCCCCCAGAUGAGGUUCAAAGAUUUUCAUAAUAAAGUCUGAAACACUAUGAUGUGAGAAUUACUUAAGUUUGAGUACUCGUUCUGCUCUCUUCAUCCUGCACUGGAGAAAGGAAGACCUUUAUGUACAACUUUGUUUUAUCAUGAAAAGAACUUCCAUAGAAGCUACUGGAGGUUGAGCUCUACCAAAUGAGGAAACAAACCAAGAACUGAAAAACCAAAAACAGUAUUUCUAACCCAACAGAGAAAUAAAGGGUGCCAUCUAGGAUACCACAUGUGUUUGUCAUGUCUCCUUUGGCUCUCAUGGCUGGAACAGUUGCUCAGACUUUAUUUAUUUUUAUAAUCUUGACAGUUAUGAGGGAUGCUGGUCAAGUAUUUUCUAGGAUGCCUCUCUAUUGGAAUUUGUCUGAUGCUUUUCUCAUAAUUAUUUUGGGGUUAUAGGUUUUAGAAAAGAAGACCUCAUAGGUAAAGUGCCAUUAUCAUCAUGUCAUAUCAAGGGUAUGUACUGUCAACAUGACUUAUCACUUGAUCACCUGGCUCAGGUAAUAUUUGUCAUGUUUCUCUAUUGUGAAGCUACUCUCCCUCUCUUCCUUCCAUACUGUACUCACCAAUGACUUUUUAAACUGUGUUUUUAAACUUUGAUUGCAGUAAGUUAAUUAAAAUAUGUAGAUGUUUCAUUUCUGAGCCACGUGGCACAUUACUGGGACUGUUUCGGUAGCAGCAUGAGACAGUGCAGGGUAAGUAGCCAAUGAAGAGCCAUAGUGAGCAUGGAGGGGCCUUUACACACGCGUAAGUUGAGUGGCCUGUGGUAUGUCAGUAUGAGAUGGAGCAAGACCACCAUCAGGUUCAGGACUAGCAAGGAUUGCAGGGGCAUGGAUGGAUUAGAAUUGAUGUAGACUAAGUUGCCAUGAAGCACUGAGGUGAAUCAGACAGGUUCCCAGGCAAAUGGUUUGAGUAUAAGAAAGCCAGGAUCUAAUUAAGAUUAAUAGUGGAUCAGGACCUUAAGCAAGGAAUCUGAACAACAGGAACAGAGCACCCUUGAGAAAAACAAGCAAACAAAAUAAAAUUUGACAUCCUAAAGACAUUUUAAUUCAGGUCAGGGGCUAUUUCUAAAUAGAACCAGCCUCCUUUGUAAUCUACCUUGAGGCUUUCAGCUGGAGUCCUUGAAGCUAGGUCGGAUCUCUUGACUGGAGUGGGGAAAAAGGAAGCAGCAUUUCUGAUAUAAUAUAAAUCAUAUCUUGGGGAUGUAUGUCAUAAAGGUUCAAUAAAAUGGCACAGUUAACAUUUUAUGUGUUUGAUAAAUUGAAGCUGGUAUUUCUUCCAUCUCCAGAACUGUAUAAGUCACUAUUCUGAGCCAGAAGGAAUAAAAAACCCCAUUUUCUUCUGGGAUAUUUUUCUAGAACUGAUGGCAUCUACAACAAUAAUCAAAAUUGCUUUCCCACAUAGUUUUAUAAGGGACAGUGGAAGGUGGCAAACCUUUUUCUAAUCUAAAUUCUCCCUUCUGGGCGUGAAUGUUAUUCUUAGGCAGAAGUAGAAGAAUAGUCUCCAUUGUAAUCUCCCUUCCCUCACCCCUAGUUCAUUCACCCAUGGAAGUAACUAGUCAGAAAUAGGUUCUCAGACCAGUUGUCCAUCAUCCCAAGCAAAAAAUUCUGUCUGUUAAUUUAAUUAAACAAGAAAGAGCUUAAGUCUUAAUUACACCUCUAAGAUGUCCUAGAACUCUACAAGGGGCCACGGCUAUGAAGUAAACAGGACACAGAGACUGCCCUCAAAAACCUCGCAUUAUAGUGAGGUAUCAAGGCAGUAAUACAGCCCUAUUCCCUAGUGUAAUGAGUGCUCUGAUUAGAAAAAGGACAUAAUGUUAUGGAAUUCCCCCCUGAGAAGUAUUAACUAAAUCUUGAAUAAAAGCCUAUUCAAAAGGGUUAUGGCAAUCAGGGGAAGGGGAAAGUUGCAAUAGAGAAUGCUCAGACUGUAAGAUCUGUAAAAAUAUGAAAGGUCAUGCAAAAAGGAAUUAUCUUUUUAUAGGAAGGGAAGGAAAGGCUAGAAGGAAUCAGGUAUUGGUGUGUGGGUGAGCAAGUGGUGUGAUCAGACAGUUAAUUAGAGAAUGUCUUUUCUUGCAGUCAGCUGAUCAUCUUGGGAGGCUGUUAAGGAGGGCUUUCCAGUAUCUAGGAGAGCUGCACUCCUGUGUUCAUUUGCUCCAAGGAUGGGGCAAACUAACAGACAUGAGGGUAGAGGGGAGCCUAACUAAAGUUUGGUCAAGUCAAGCAUUUUGUCCAGAUUAGUCAGUGGGGACAAACAGCUCAGCUAAUCACUUGAGAGACAGAGAAUGGGAAUUGAAGGUCUAUGUCUAGCCUUGUCAUAGGUAAACAAGGAGGAAGGACAUCAUUGAGUCUUAUUGAAGAAGAGGUAGACUUAUUCUUGGCAGUAAGCCUUUUUCUGAAGCACAAGAGUCAGAGUUGGGGGAUUUAUUAAUUGGAGCUUUUCCAGGAGCACAGGGCUCAGGAAAAGUUCAAUAUUAUCAAUAUCUAAACUGGUAUCGUUAAGCAAAUUAAGGGGACAUUUGAGAUAGGGGAACAGCCAGGAGGCAGGAUAAACAUGAUAUAUUCAAGAAACAUGAGGAAUGGGUGAAGUUAAUUUUGGAAGCAGAAGAUCAUUUGAAGUCUAUUGCUACAAGUUAGGAAGAAACAGUCACUUGACUAAGCAGUGGUUGUCAAAUGCCCAGAUAAAUGUUGGCCUAUGAGAUGGAUCAUAGCUGUCAUAGAGAAAUCUAGGCAAUGUGAGCUAUAAAAUUACUAAAGUGAUUUACCAAGGAAAACAGUGCAUCUCAGCUGAAAAAACAAACAUAUAAUCAAAUCAAGAGGGUGUGUACUGAGUUUGUUUUGAGAUAAGAUAAAAGACCUUUAUAUCCAGAAGGUCAAAAAAGUAGAACUAUAUAAAACAGACUUAUUUUCUGGGCAAUGGUUCUUUAGAGAUGAUCCCAAAAGAGGCAAAAAAUAAAAAGUAGAAAAUGGUUAAAAGCUUCUACACAGCAAAAGAAACAAUCAGAGUGAAGAGGCAGCCUAUGGAAUGGGAGCGAGCAAAUAUUUGCAAACUAUACAUCUGAUAAGAGGUUAAUGUCCAAACUAUAUAAGGAACACCUUAAACUCAGUAGCAAAAAAACCUAACAACCUGAUUAAAAAAUGGUCUGAAGACCUGAACAGUCAUUUCUUAAAACAUACAAAUGGUCAACAUGUAUGUGAAAAAUUGCUCAACAUCACUAAUUAUCAGGGAAAUGAGAAUCAAAACCACGGUGAUCUAUCACCUCACACCCAUUAGAAUGGCUACCAUCCAGAAGAUGAACAAACGUUGGUGAGGAUGUGAAGAAAUGGGCACCCUUGUUCACUGUUGAUGGGAAUGUAAAUUAGUAC